GGUGCAGCCUGUCUGACCCCUGAGAUCAAGGUCUGAGCCACCAUGCCCUCCUGCCUCCCACUGUGCAAAGAAGAAAGCAGAGGUCCCUGGAGAAGGGGCAGGAUUUGCCUUGAGUCACACACCAGGGCAUGGGUUCAGAUGCCCAAUUGAGGCCCCCUUCAGACAUACUGGGAAAGGUCUUCCCUGGGUCCCGCUGGGGCAGGGUGAGUUGCUGGGGAUCAUCUAGCAUUUGUCUGGCAUUAGUGUUGAGUGGGAAAAGGCCAGGGCUGCUGUCUCCAUCCUGCUGUCCUCCCUUUCCACCAGGGCCAUGUGGAAGAGCUGUGGGGCCUGGCCACACACCCCAGUCGGGCCCAGUUUGUGACCUGCGGGCAGGAUAAGCUGGUGCAUCUAUGGAGCUCAGAUUCCCACCAGCCCCUGUGGAGCAGGAUCAUCGAGGACCCUGCCCGCUCAGCCGGCUUCCACCCCAGUGGCUCUGUCCUGGCUGUGGGUACAGUGACUGGCAGAUGGCUGCUGCUGGACACGGAGACCCAUGACCUGGUGGCUAUCCACACAGAUGGCAAUGAACAGAUCUCAGUGGUCAGCUUCUCCCCAGACGGGGCGUACCUGGCCGUGGGCUCCCACGACAACUUGGUGUACGUGUACACGGUGGACCAGGGCGGCCGCAAG
This 666-nucleotide small RNA is filed under the name Pan troglodytes (chimpanzee). RNAcentral's name for it is "retained intron". The record is from RNAcentral. Lineage: Eukaryota; Metazoa; Chordata; Mammalia; Primates; Hominidae.